AGGACGAACGCUGGCGGCGUGCUUAACACAUGCAAGUCGAACGGAAAGGCCCUUCGGGGUACUCGAGUGGCGAACGGGUGAGUAACACGUGGGUGAUCUGCCCCGCACUUUGGGAUAAGCCUGGGAAACUGGGUCUAAUACCGAAUAGGACCAUGGGAUGCAUGUCCUGUGGUGGAAAGCUUUUGCGGUGUGGGAUGGGCCCGCGGCCUAUCAGCUUGUUGGUGGGGUUAAGGCCUACCAAGGCGACGACGGGUAGCCGGCCUGAGAGGGUGUCCGGCCACACUGGGACUGAGAUACGGCCCAGACUCCUACGGGAGGCAGCAGUGGGGAAUAUUGCACAAUGGGCGCAAGCCUGAUGCAGCGACGCCGCGUGGGGGAUGACGGCCUUCGGGUUGUAACCUCUUUCAGUAGGGACGAAGCGCAAGUGACGGUACCUACAGAAGAAGCACCGGCCAACUACGUGCCAGCAGCCGC
RNAcentral lists this ribosomal RNA (474 nucleotides) under uncultured bacterium. Its description in RNAcentral is "SSU rRNA". It matches the Rfam family "Bacterial small subunit ribosomal RNA", at positions 26 to 518 of the family's 1533-position model. The record is from RNAcentral.